Small nuclear RNA from Penaeus chinensis, 164 nucleotides. RefSeq annotates it as U1 spliceosomal RNA. NCBI's taxonomy places the organism in Eukaryota, Metazoa, Arthropoda, Malacostraca, Decapoda, Penaeidae. The transcript has a single exon. The record is from RefSeq and is a predicted model, not a curated record.
AUACUUACCUGGCACAGGAGAUUACGUGAUCACGAAGGCGGUUUUCCCGGGCGAGGCUCACCAUUGCACUCCGUGGUGCUAGACCCCUGCGAUAACCCAAAUGUGGUUAACUCGAGUGUGCAAUUAAUGGCAGCCGGGGGACUGCGUUUUCGCGCUAUCCCCCU